GUGCAGUCUACGAGCUGAGAGCACAGAGCCAACUGCCGAGAGGAAAAGUGAAAUGUAAAGUGAUUAAGGAUAGCUAAAAAGAUACUUACCUGGUCGAUGAGCCACCACAACCACAUCUUAGUGAGCAACAAUUGACUUUUGGUCAGGUUUUUUCCGUUUUGUACCUUUUGCAUUGGAUUGAAACACCUGUAAGUGUGUGGGAGACACCUCUACAGUGGAGACAAGAUGGCGAGCCAGAUCCAUGGACUACAGUUCCAGAACCUUCGUCGUGAUUACAAGUGAAUCAGUUUCCUACUGAUGAACAUUGCUGCCAGUGCGGUAGGAACAUUGACUCUUUUAUUUUCCUCAUCUCAACCAAGCUUUGGAUUUCCUCAUCUGGAUUCUACUUUGUGGUGAAAGUGUGAUUGGUUUUGAAAUCGAUUUGGGGUUGAAUCAUGCUUGUUAUUGGUUCUUUCCUAAACAAAGAGUUAAAUCAACAAAAAUAGAAAUAUCAUUAGAAAUUACUUACAGUACCUGUUAACCUAACCAGGGUAAAGUACUCACAGACCGGUCUGAUUGAUAAAAUAACUCAAGUUAAAAUUAGAGACAUUGGAAAAAUAUUCUCUCUUAUUUACUUUUCAAUUUCCUGGAUCACUUUAUGCUGUUUAUAUUGUAUGUUUUUUCUGAAAUUUCUUGUUAGUAAAUUGCCGGCUCAAACUUCAACUUCUGGUCUUUGGUCUAUUUACACAUUCUCAUUCCACUCCUUCUGAACCUGGAUCUGGUCCUGGAGUAUUGGGCCUCAUUCAUGAAACGUUCUUAUGCACAAAUGUGUUUGUAAAGCCUUCUUACGAAGAUUUUUAGCAUUCACGAAACGUGUUCUUAACUCACAGUUCUUAGAUCAAAGAACAAAUUCCACAAACACUCAGGAGGACUCUUACGCACAAAUACAGCUUGCACUUCCAAUGCGCAAUCGCCCUCAUGAUGUAUUUUGCAACCUGAUCCCAAAAAAUGUAGUGCAAAUAUCAUAUCCCAACAAUUAUUUAUGAUCAAAACAACUAAAAUAUACUCCAUCGAUAAAUAUAUAUUCAAAUCCCAAUUCAUCCCAAACAAAAGGAAUUUCACAAUUACAAUAUGUAAAUAUUUUCUGCCAAUUAAGUCCUAUUUAAAUAGGACUGACUGUGCACCUGUGCCAGACACUAACCAUGGCAGACCUUCUUCUUCUGGAGUACCUGGCUGGACGUGCGCUGCGCAGAGAGAGAAUGUAUAGGGACCAUGUAGAUUUAUUUGCUGAAAGCACCGAAUUUUUGAUGUCCCGCUUGAGGCUUCCCAGGGUAAUUUUGAUUGAGCUGUGUGACACGUUGCGGGACACUUUGGAAGGACCCACAAACAGAUCCAACCCAGUACCUGCUCACAUUCAGGUGUUGUCAACUUUAGGCUUUUUAGCCACAGGGACAUUCCAACGGGAAAUUGGAGACCGAGUUGGUGUGUCGCAGUCGUCCAUCAGCCGUGCCAUUCCACGUACCCUUGCAAGAAUUAUCCAUCUCGCUCCACAAUACAUCCGGUUCCCAUACACACCAGAGGAAAGGAUUCCGAUAAAAACUGGCUUUCAUUCUGUAGCAGGCCUGUCCAACAUCAUCGGUGCCAUAGGCUGUACCCACGUGCACAUCAAAGCUCCAUCACCAGAUCCAUUUCCCUACAUCAAUCGCAAACGGUAUCAAUCAGUUAAUGUCCAAAUAAUCUCAGAUUCGCAACACAUCCUUCUGAAUGUUGUUGCACGUUUCCCUGGAGGUACACACGACUGCUACAUUUUCCAAAAUUCCUCCGUUGGAAUGCGCCUGAGUCAUGGCGCGGCAUGCAACAGAUGGUUAAUCGGUGCGUAAAAUGUUAAUUUCUUGCCUUUUGCAUGUUCUUAUGUGGCCAUUAACUUAUUUUACAGGUGAUCAAGGCUAUGCCCUGGCACCUUGGCUCAUGACACCAUUGAAUAAUCCGCAGACCCCAAAAGAACAAAUGUAGAACCUAAAGCGCACACGUACAUGCUCCUGCGUGGAGCGCACCAUCGGUAUACUCAAGGGACCCUGGAUGUGUUUGGACACUGCAGGUGGAAGGCUGCUCUACAAACCAGAAAAGGUGUGCAGGAUCAUCAUGGCCUGCUGCGUUUUGCAUAACAUCGCAAUGAAACGUGGUGUGCCUAUUGCGCACGUAGCACCCCCAGAUAACGACAUGCGCCCCCAGCCACGUCUUGAGCCAGAGCACGGGGCUGCUGUAUUAAUUGGGCAGCGUCUAAUUAAUCAAAUGUAACCACAGAAAAAAUAAAUUGUCACACACAAACUAUGUAUUUUGACUUUAUUUAUCUAUCAUGAUAGUGUAAAUAUUUUUUAGAGUUUCCGAAAUAGUUUGGAGUGUCGUAGCAAUUUGAGAAAGUGAGUGUGCUAUUUGUUCUUGAUUGUCCAGUACAGCAUCAGAGAUGAUUCUGGGGUGACGGGAGGAAGCAGACACUUGUGUCGGAGUCCUGGCUCGUGUCGGGGUUCGGGCCUGAGUCAGGAUUUGUUCUUCUGCUAUCGCCUGUGUUGUCUGUUCUACUUGGUCCUCUGAAAUCAAAUGAAAUACAGAUGAGAUGAGAUACAGGGGUUAAGAUAGAAAUAAAUAAAAACGAAUUAAAAGUCUAAAUUUGAAGUGUGGAAUUUUAAGAGAGCAUAUAUUUGAAAGGCAUUUACAAUGUUAAAAUAGCAAAAUGUGACUCACCAGCUUCGGAAUCAGAUAUGAUAAAUGAAAAGUCCACAUCCGUAUCCAGGGCCUGGGUGUUUGGAACCCCACAGACGGAUGUCUCUCCGAUUAUGGCGAUGAUUCUCUCAUCCACCUGUGAGGGGCCUGCACUGGUUGAUGGUCCACCUCUCGUUUCCUCCAGAUCCCUCCGGUGUAGUGCAAUCUUUUUUUUUGACCCGGAUUUUAAAUCAAACCACUUCUUUUUUACCUCUGCGGUGGUGCGUUUCUCCGUGGAAACGGCAUUUAUAUUUCCUGCAAUGGUGCUCCAUGCCGAUUCUUUUUGGGUGGCCUGAUGACCGGUGGAUACACUAGAAAAUAAGGUGGUCUUGUGUUCGGUCACUCCUUGUAAAAGCACCUCUAUUUCAGCAGAAUUGAAGUUUUUCUUCCGUUUGUUGUCCAGCUGCUCCUCAGUCUUGCCCUUGCGCUUCGGCAUCUUGGCCUCUAGCUGUGUGUUGCGCACGGCACAUUUUUCACCUUAUAUAGGAAAUAAUAGGCGGUGACCUAUGCAAAUUAGGCCUCACAUGCACGUGCAUCCCAGUUGGCAUUCAUCAACCUAAGAACACGGUGCGAACGAUUAUCCCUACUUAAGAGCGUGUCGUGAAUGCGGCGCUGUUUCCAACCCGCGCCUUCUUAAGUAGAGUUCUUAAGAAGACUUUUAAGAAGAUGUUAGUGAAUGAGGCCCAUUGUUAGUAUAUCGGUGUAGACAAGUGCUACAUUCCACUAAGACAGUUAGGAGGUGGAGCCAGGAGACCAGCCAGACUCUACAGGACUGCUUUGAGACCGCCAACUGGGACAUGUCAGCCCCAUGGGUCUGUCAUUGACAGCAUCACGGACUGCAUCAAGAAGUACAUCAACUUCUGUGAAGACACUGUCAUUCCUGCAAGAACUGUCUGUUGUUAUCCUAACAACAAGCCCAGCUGAAUAAGAAGAAGCAGGCCUUCCGAUAUGGAGAUAAGGAUGAAUUGAAGAGGAUACAGUGGCAGUUUAAGAUCAAGCUUAGGGAAUGUAAAGUUACCUACAGGAGGAAGCUGGAGGCCAAUCUCCAGCAGAACAACAUUCGGGGCGUGUGGAAGGGCAUGCAAAUGAUCACUGGCUUCAACAUCAAGGCCAAGUAGCAGACAGGGGUGCAGACAAAUCCAAAAGCUGAAUUUGUUCUUCAAUAGAUUCAAUGCUCCGGGCCCCUGCUGGCCCUUCCCCCAUCACUCCAUUCUUCAUACUCCCCCAGAGAGCAAUCCACAACACACCACUGAUUCCUUCCUUCAUGUCCCUGCUGCUUCCCACUCCCUUACUCCCACCCCCGGUGAGGAACUCAAAAACUAUGCUGUCUAAUACAAUAUUUUUUCCUCAACGCGAGAGGAAAAUACUUGGGAAAAAUGUAACUUAAAACUUGUACUCAACAACUCAAACAAUGUACUAAUAUGAGCCAUUUCAAGAGACAGUACGAGCUGCUGAUGUUUACAAGUACGAGUACAAAUAAGAAUGCUGAAGCACGACGUCUGACAUCAUCGUUCCUAAUGCUUCCUCUGAUCUUAUUAAUAAUUGCACUAAUAAAAUGUGCAAACCCUCCCAAUUCUCAUGCAAAAAGAUACUUUACAUUCCAACAAAGCUUUCUCUUCUGAAAAUUUUACUUUGUCUUGAACUGAAACAAUUCUUUGAAAGCAUUCCACAGUUGCCACCCCUUCCCCCCAGUUUGAGCCACAUUCCGCCUGCACGGGUAAGGAUUUCAUUUACAUAUGAAAACUGACUGGUGAGGACUAUCAACUUGUUAAUCGAAAUGCACAGGGCCAUUUUGGACCCUCUCUGGUAUUUCUAGGGCGGGAGGCCAAAUUGGCCCCUUCUUGGUAGUUCUAGUUAAGCAGCCACCGCUAUGUUGUUACUUCUCGAUGUCAUCUGUUUUUAGGGUCAGUUUGACCAGGAUCAUAUACAUGACUUUAUCUAUUCAUUCGUCAUACAAUGCUAACUCGGAUUCAAAGGAAAAUCUUGAACUACAGUACGUGACAAAUGCAAUGCUAUGUCUAACCACUUUUGCACUUACUUAUUCUUCAUUCCUCAGGACUUGAAAGGAUAAAUGAGUUAUACAGUAUAUUAGCAUACUGAAUAUACACGCCCUUGCUAGCACACACAUACACUUGAUGAAAUGAAUAUAUAGGUUUUUUUACCACUAUAUUUCUGCAUGCUAACUGUUGUAUCGUAUUGCAGCAUAGGAUACAAGUGUAAGUAGUUGUCUUUAUAGUGUCGCACACAAUCACACACGCAGUCCACAUCGUGCUAGGGUGCUAAGAGGUAUUUAGAAGUGGAAAACAGCAAGACAGGCCAGCCCAGCCCAUGGUGACCAAUGGAACCAUCAAAGACCCCCUUUCCUUGACCCAACGGUGGCAAGGACAGUAUGAAUAUGAUUCUAUGCUGAAAUAACUGAUUAAUCUGUCAAUUAUUUUUCAAUUAAUCAAUUAAUCGCAUUUUUAAAAAAAACACGUUUUUAAUAUCCGCCUCUUUAUUCAGAAGAUUUGAAAUGACAGAGAAAGAUUUUGAAGUGCACAAACCAGGUUGCCUAAUGUUAAAUAAUAAAAAAAUGUAAAUGUUUGUCAAUAGCUUCAGUAAAACAAUAAAUGUCCACAAAAAUACAAUCAUGGUGAUUUUCUUAGCCGAUUAAUCUGAAGCUUGUUAAUUCACUUUAUGGAGUAAUCGGUUAGGCCACCUACAGUUAGUGGUUGGGUCCGCAAUAUAUCAGAAAAGAGGCAAAAAUGAUCACAGUUUUCCAAAAUCAAAGCUGAUAUGUGUGAAUAUCUUGUUUUGGCUAAAACACAAAGAUAAUAAGUCUGCUUGCCUUAUAAUUGUCUUAUGUUUUUUCAGAAUUGUUAAAGGUACAUGUUAAACAAAUGUAUUUGGAAUUGAUGUGAGAGGA
Molecule: long non-coding RNA, 5644 nt
Organism: Dunckerocampus dactyliophorus (ringed pipefish)
Lineage: Eukaryota; Metazoa; Chordata; Actinopteri; Syngnathiformes; Syngnathidae
Exons: 3
Source: RefSeq, a predicted model, not a curated record